This 497-nucleotide ribosomal RNA is filed under the name uncultured bacterium. Its description in RNAcentral is "partial 16S ribosomal RNA". It matches the Rfam family "Bacterial small subunit ribosomal RNA", at positions 28 to 507 of the family's 1533-position model. The record is from RNAcentral.
GAUGAACGCUGGCGGCGUGCCUAAUACAUGCAAGUCGAGCGAACAGACGAGGAGCUUGCUCCUCUGACGUUAGCGGCGGACGGGUAAGUAACACGUGGAUAACCUACCUAUAAGACUGGGAUAACUUCGGGAAACCGGAGCUAAUACCGGAUAAUAUAUUGAACCGCAUGGUUCAAUAGUGAAAGACGGUUUUGCUGUCACUUAUAGAUGGAUCCGCGCCGCAUUAGCUAGUUGGUAAGGUAACGGCUUACCAAGGCAACGAUGCGUAGCCGACCUGAGAGGGUGAUCGGCCACACUGGAACUGAGACACGGUCCAGACUCCUACGGGAGGCAGCAGUAGGGAAUCUUCCGCAAUGGGCGAAAGCCUGACGGAGCAACGCCGCGUGAGUGAUGAAGGUCUUCGGAUCAUAAAACUCUGUUAUUAGGGAAGAACAAAUGUGUAAGUAACUAUGCACGUCUUGACGGUACCUAAUCAGAAAGCCACGGCUAACUACGUG